GUUGUUUUAAUUUAUUUAUGUGUUUUUUAUAGUAUGCUUCUGCUUUGGGGACAACGAGAUCUGUUCUUUUGCAAAUGGCAACAAGCGCUGUGUAUGUAAAAAGGGAUAUGCGAGAGACAAAUAUUAUUAUGACAAAUGUAAAGAAUGCCUUUGCGACGGAGAAAACGAGGUUUGUUCUUUUCUGGAAGGCUACAAAAACUGUGAUUGCAAAGUGGGAUAUUUGAGAGAUGAAAAUGAUAGUAACAAAUGUAAAGCUUGCCCUUGCAUCGGAGAAAAUGAAUUCUGUUCUUUUGUAAAUGGCAGCACAAGCUGUGAAUGCAGAAAGGGAUACGUGAGAGACAACUAUUUUGAUAACAAAUGUAAAA
Molecule: long non-coding RNA, 365 nt
Organism: Stegodyphus dumicola
Lineage: Eukaryota; Metazoa; Arthropoda; Arachnida; Araneae; Eresidae
Source: RefSeq, a predicted model, not a curated record